CCCAAGGCUCAGAGGCAAGAACAUGUGUUCAGAGGCAAAAUGAUAUUGGAAACCAGUUACAGCCAAGAAGGUAAAAUUGUGUUCUACUUUCCUUUAGAAUCUGUGGGAUCUCUUAGAUGUUUCCUGCAAGUGUCAGAUUUUGAUGUCCCAUGUGAAGUCGCCAAAUUGAAAUUCAUGGUAACAGCAAGGUAACACUAAGAUGAGGAGAGAAGCAAAAGAGCUGCUUUUGAAUCUGAAGAUAGAAGCAGCAAAUCCCAUGGGGAUCCUGAACAAGGAAAGGAGACCCUGCCUAAUAGCUUCCGAGGUGGCGGCCGAGUAUCCACAGUUGGGGGACUGGAGAGAGUGGCAUUUCCUUCCACUGAGUCUACGACACAGAAGCAAAUCGAGUGGCUUUUUCUCAACAAUUUCAGAUCUAUGCACCCCAGGCCCUGGGGAGCCGCCCGGAAGGAGCAUGAGCUAUUUUGACUUGGAAUGCGGCAAGCUAGGCCAAGGAAGUUGGAGCCAAGAGAUACAGUGUCCAGCAAGACACCCGAGAGAGAGCAUUUCCCUCCAAACCAGGCCUGUGAGGAACCAAAGAGGCAAGCAGCAUAGUGGACCAUCUGCAGCACGACCCUAGAAAGUCUGCCUCAUUGCAGUGUUUCUGGAGUGUGGAGGGCUAAGCCAUUCUCUCAGGGAAGGGGAUGAACUGGCCAUUGGCUUGAGAAGUGUUUCCCUGACUUGCCCUUAGCCUAACUGAUCCCCCCAACUAAGAUUCUUACCCUCCAGCUCCAGUGAUCCCAUUUUAUGAUCCAUUCUCUUUCCCUAAGAAAGCACCCAGAUUCUCUCCUCUUACCCACCCCCUGACAUCUGAUGACUGCUUCACAUUUUCAGGCUAUUCUACCCUUUUAUCCUCAGCCUGGUCCUAAGAAUGCAGAAAAUAGUCAAUAAAUGCUGGUUGAAGAAGCAUACAUAUGAUUAUUAUAUAGUACAGUGUUAGUACUUGGUUUAUUCAUUCACUCAUUUAAUUAAAAUUUUGGAGUACCAACUCUAUAACAGGUGUUGCAUUCAUCAGUAAAUAAAUAGACAGUGUUCACCCG
Molecule: long non-coding RNA, 1076 nt
Filed under: Homo sapiens (human)
Lineage: Eukaryota; Metazoa; Chordata; Mammalia; Primates; Hominidae
Description: HSALNT0399879
Source: RNAcentral